RNAcentral lists this ribosomal RNA (1254 nucleotides) under Triticum aestivum (bread wheat). RNAcentral describes it as "partial small subunit ribosomal RNA". The record is from RNAcentral. Lineage: Eukaryota; Viridiplantae; Streptophyta; Magnoliopsida; Poales; Poaceae.
AUGAUCCAUGAGCGCUUCCAAGAACUCCUUGGUGAGAAGAGAGCGCGUGCAUGCACCCUGAACUGGGCUGCACUGGAUUUGCCGAGUCUGAAUGCCCAGGGCCUGGACAACCCUUUCUCUGAAGAUGAAGUGUGGGCGGCAGUAUGCUCCUCACCAGCGGAAAAAGCACCGGGGGCGGACGGUUUUUCAGGAUGCUUCUUCAGAUCAUGCAGGCAAACAAUAAAAGAAGACGUGAUGGCAGUGUUCCACAAAUUCCAUAGCUUGGCUGCGGGUGACUUUGUGGCUAUCAACAAGGCUCUGAUUGUGCUCUUGCCAAAGAAAAAUGGUGCAACCCAAGUAGGGGAUUAUCGCCCAAUAAGCCUCAUUCACUCGGUGGCAAAGUUGAUCGCCAAGGUGCUAUCGAUCAGGAUCUCAAGUGUCAUGAGCCAGCUUAUUUCACCAGUGCAGAGUGCUUUUCAAAAGAAAAAAGGAAUUCAUGACCGUUUCUUAUAUGUCUGCAACACAGUGAAGCACUUACACAGCAAAAACAAGCUAGCUCUGCUACUCAAACUAGACAUCGCUAGGGCCUUCGAUAGUGUUUCAUGGGAGUACCUGCUUGAGCUGAUGCCAUAGCUUGGAUUCCCGUCGAGGUGGCGAGACUGGAUCGCCCUGCUCUUGUCGACAUCAUCCUCCUCCUGUCUGCUGAAUGGCAUUGAAGGUGACAACAUUCGUCACAUGAAGGGCCUGCGCCAGGGUGAUCCACUAUCCCCCCUUCUUUUCAUCCUCGCAAUUGACCCGCUUCAGAGACUGUUUGAGGCCGCGACGGCGGCUGGCGAACUACAGCUGCUCCCUGCCCAGGCUGCUCGACUACGCGUUAGUUUGUACGCCGAUGAUGCGGUGGUUUUCGCCAAUCUGCAGCGUGAGGAGGUCGGCAAGAUCCUAGGGCUACUGCAGGGUUUUGGAAACGCUACCAGCCUGCACCUCAACCCAGCAAAAUCCUCAGUGGCUCCAAUACGAUGCGACGGAAUCGAUCUUCAGCAGGUUCUGCAAAAUUUUGGAGGGCAGAUAGUCGGCUUCGCCAUUACAUAUAUAGGCAUUCCAAUUACCCUUGGGAGAAUUAGACUAGUGCACAUCCAGUACAUCCUGGAUAGAAUUAGAGCCCGGCUGGCAGGUUGGAAGGGACGGCUGCUACCGAUCGCGGGCCGGCGAGUGCUUGUCAGGAGCGUGCUCUCAGCGCUCCCUGUGUUUGCACUUGCUGUAUUGCGCGUGCCGUGA